AGGACGAACGCUGGCGGCGUGCCUAACACAUGCAAGUCGAGCGGGGACAUUGCGACGGAGGCGAAGUACUCGUACGGAGUCAAAGAUGUAAUGUUCUAGCGGCGGACGGGUGAGUAACGCGUGAGCAACCUGUCCCUUACAGGGGGAUAACACAGCGAAAGUUGUACUAAUACCGCAUAAGACCACAGAGUGACAUCGCUCAGGGGUCAAAGGAGCAAUCCGGUAAGGGGUGGGCUCGCGUCCGAUUAGAUAGUUGGUGAGGUAACGGCCCACCAAGUCGACGAUCGGUAGCCGACCUGAGAGGGUGAUCGGCCACAUUGGGACUGAGACACGGCCCAAACUCCUACGGGAGGCAGCAGUGGGGAAUAUUGGGCAAUGGGGGGAAACCCUGACCCAGCAACGCCGCGUGAGGGAAGAAGGUUUUCGGAUCGUAAACCUCUGUCCCAGGUGAAGAGGAAGAGACGGUAGCCUGGGAGGAAGCCCCGGCUAACUACGUGCCAGCAGCCGC
Molecule: ribosomal RNA, 508 nt
Filed under: uncultured bacterium
Lineage: Bacteria
Description: bacterial SSU rRNA
Rfam family: Bacterial small subunit ribosomal RNA
Source: RNAcentral